Molecule: long non-coding RNA, 294 nt
Organism: Aedes albopictus (Asian tiger mosquito)
Lineage: Eukaryota; Metazoa; Arthropoda; Insecta; Diptera; Culicidae
Exons: 3
Source: RefSeq, a predicted model, not a curated record
CAACAAAUUUUAAACAUAAUUGAGGGGAUGAUAAAGGCAAAAUUGCGCCAUUGCCAAAUGUCCGUUGAAAGUUAUAACAAGCAAAAUAAGUCAUGUACCAACAAAUUAAUGACAGGACAGUUACAGUUAGACGAAACACAAGACCAAAAACGACCAAAUUAGUUUCCCCCUGAAGAAGACACUAACCCCGUGUCGAAACGUUGGGCAAGUAAUAAACAUCGUUUGCUAAUUUCGAGACUGCGUAGCCGUUUUUAAUGAUAGUUGAAACGAUACAGUCGAACCUCCACUAGAAUA